RNAcentral lists this ribosomal RNA (474 nucleotides) under uncultured bacterium. RNAcentral's name for it is "bacterial SSU rRNA". It matches the Rfam family "Bacterial small subunit ribosomal RNA", at positions 501 to 975 of the family's 1533-position model. The record is from RNAcentral.
CUACGUGCCAGCAGCCGCGGUAAUACGUAGGGUGCAAGCGUUAAUCGGAAUUACUGGGCGUAAAGAGUGCGCAGGCGGUUUUGCAAGACCGAUGUGAAAUCCCCGGGCUUAACCUGGGAACUGCAUUGGUGACUGCAAGGCUAGAGUGUGUCAGAGGGAGGUGGAAUUCCGCAUGUAGCAGUGAAAUGCGUAGAUAUGCGGAGGAACACCGAUGGCGAAGGCAGCCUCCUGGGAUAACACUGACGCUCAUGCACGAAAGCGUGGGGAGCAAACAGGAUUAGAUACCCUGGUAGUCCACGCCCUAAACGAUGUCUACUAGUUGUCGGGGAUUAAUUUCCUUGGUAACGCAGCUAACGCGUGAAGUAGACCGCCUGGGGAGUACGGUCGCAAGAUUAAAACUCAAAGGAAUUGACGGGGACCCGCACAAGCGGUGGAUGAUGUGGAUUAAUUCGAUGCAACGCGAAAAACCUUACC